UGAUUGUGGUUCUGGAGGCUGCUAAUCAGGUGGCGCAUUUCACGGUUGAUAGGCCCUGGGGAAAGGUCAGCAAGUAAGUGUGCUGAACUGUCCCCUUCCAGCUCACCAACUCCACAGAAGCGGAGUCAGUGCCACCAGAGAAGCAGAAGCAGACUCACAGAGGCUGGAGGAAUGGCUCCGUGGGCGGUCCGAGGCCUCGACCACCCGAGACACUGCAGCCUUGGAGAAUUCCAUCCGACCCUGCAGCUGCAGCUCCACUUCCUCACAGCUGCUGGCGCCCAGUGCCACCACGAAAGCCAAGGCCGGCUCACUGAGAGGGGCUCGAAACUGCACUGGCAUCGGUUCUGGAAGGGACAGAGAAUCCUCAUAGGAAUGAAAGGCCACAGCAGGGACCAUCAACCUUUACCACGUCCCAGAAUAAGCUCCUUCGUAUUC
RNAcentral lists this long non-coding RNA (435 nucleotides) under Mus pahari (shrew mouse). RNAcentral describes it as "predicted gene 44759 (MGP_PahariEiJ_G0002213.1)". The record is from RNAcentral. Lineage: Eukaryota; Metazoa; Chordata; Mammalia; Rodentia; Muridae.